GAUGAACGCUGGCGGCGUGCCUAAUACAUGCAAGUCGAGCGAACAGACGAGGAGCUUGCUCCUCUGACGUUAGCGGCGGACGGGUGAGUAACACGUGGAUAACCUACCUAUAAGACUGGGAUAACUUCGGGAAACCGGAGCUAAUACCGGAUAAUAUAUUGAACCGCAUGGUUCAAUAGUGAAAGACGGUUUUGCUGUCACUAUAAGAGGAAUCCCCGCGGAAUUAGCUAGUUGGUAAGGUAACGGCUUACCAAGGCAACGAUGCGUAGCCGACCUGAGAGGGUGAUCGGCCACACUGGAACUGAGACACGGUCCAGACUCCUACGGGAGGCAGCAGUAGGGAAUCUUCCGCAAUGGGCGAAAGCCUGACGGAGCAACGCCGCGUGAAUGAUGAAGGUCUUCGGAUCGUAAAACUCUGUUAUUAGGGAAGAACAAAUGUGUAAGUAACUAUGCACGUCUUGACGGUACCUAAUCAGAAAGCCACGGCUAACUACGUG
RNAcentral lists this ribosomal RNA (497 nucleotides) under uncultured bacterium. Its description in RNAcentral is "partial 16S ribosomal RNA". It matches the Rfam family "Bacterial small subunit ribosomal RNA", at positions 28 to 507 of the family's 1533-position model. The record is from RNAcentral.